Cinara cedri is the source of this 1153-nucleotide non-coding RNA. The record is from the annotation of a GenBank genome assembly. NCBI's taxonomy places the organism in Eukaryota, Metazoa, Arthropoda, Insecta, Hemiptera, Aphididae.
AGGUAUAUUGAUGUAAAUUAAUUAAUAUUUUAGGUAUUUAUUAUAAUUAUUAAACAAGUAAAUUAUGAUUUAAACGAUUUAUCUGGACGACUCAAUUGUUAUUUAUUUUGGAAAACAGCUCAGAUAUUUUAUUUCCCUUUUUAUUUAGACAAAAUUAAACACCGAACGUGACACGAAAAGAAGUCGUAUGCCGGGACAGACACGGAGAAAAACACAAACCACGUAUAUAAAAAAAAAAAAACAACAUAAUUUGUUAGUAUAAAAUUAUAUAGAUAGUUAAAUGUAAGUAGGUAUGCAAUAUAAACUCGCAAAUUUUAAUAUUAUAUAAUUAUUAUAUCUCUUACAAAAAACAUUAUAUUUACAAUAUCGCGUAAAAUGGUAAAGGGUUUUCAUUAUUAUUAUGUGGGAAAAUCGCAGUUUCUUUUCGAAUGUGGUUAAAAACGCUCUCGGGUGUAAAACCAUGUCAUAACCGAGCGGUAAUCGUGAUCUGCGGUUAGUAAUAUAAUAUACCAUAAUAUAUACAUUCGUUUUCAUAUAACUAUGCGGUCGAGAGAUUAAUUCCCCCGUCCACUGUGUCUUUUUAAAUUUUUUUUUUAAAAAAAAAAAAAUGCUACCUAUAAGUUAUAAUAGACCGUGGAUUUAUACGUAUAACGUAGGUACUGCGUAUUUUCCUUCUUUCCUCAUUUCCGGAUUUUCGUUAAUCAUCCUUACGAAUCGCAUACUAAUAGCAUUAAAGUAUAGUUUGCAUUUAUUACACGCUUGACCGUGAUUAUAUAUUUUCGCAUAUACUAGUUUCACAUUUCCAUCAUUUUUACCAGACUUCCGAAAGAGGGUUAUGCGUGUGUGCAUGUAUGUGAUAUAUUUACUUCUUAUUCCGUAAACAGCCCAAACGACUGAACAGAUAUUAAUAAAUAAGGUGUCGUUGGAUUCGCUUUAAUCUCGAGAGUGUUAUAGACUAGGUGACGUCUUAAAAAAAAUAAAAGGGAGGGGUAAAAAAUAAUCAAAAAUGAAUAUUAUAUGCCUGUGCCUAUUAAUAGUAUUUUUAAUUUACCAAUGCAUCGUUCCUACGGGCGUCUAACAGUAUUAUUUUAGCAACGGAUAAUAACGGAUCAGAGAGAAACUGUGAUAAAACGAAAAAUAAAUUUUCAACAUU